Molecule: ribosomal RNA, 279 nt
Filed under: uncultured Cellulosilyticum sp.
Lineage: Bacteria; Bacillati; Bacillota; Clostridia; Lachnospirales; Cellulosilyticaceae
Description: partial 16S ribosomal RNA
Rfam family: Bacterial small subunit ribosomal RNA
Source: RNAcentral
AGAGUUUGAUCCUGGCUCAGGAUGAACGCUGGCGGCGUGCUUAACACAUGCAAGUCGAACGGACUGAGGGAGCUUGCUCCCAAAGUUAGUGGCGGACGGGUGAGUAACGCGUGGGUAACCUGCCCUAUGCAGGGGGAUAACGUUUGGAAACGAACGCUAAUACCGCAUAACCUAGUUGGUUCGCAUGAACCAAUUAGCAAAGAUUUAUCGGCAUAGGAUGGACCCGCGUUGGAUUAGCUAGUUGGUGAGAUAACAGCCCACCAAGGCGACGAUCCAUAG